GGAACCAAUACGCUGGGAAGCAUAGACUUCCAACCAUCCACAUUACACACUCCAUCAGGAAAAAAAAAAACCUUCUUCUGGCUUCCCCUCAGCAACUCAGCCUGGUUCGAUAUAGCUGCUCAACUUCAGGAUGUAGCGUUUGAACAAUCUAUUAAUAGCACCGCCAACAAGUGCUUACCGGACGCACCGGAACUUGUGUUUGGAUCUAGAGCUGCCACUUCUGAUAUGUAUCUCACCAACGCUGCAUAUGGAGAGUACCUUGCCAACCAGUUCAAGGUCUCUAUUAUUGAUGAAGAGACUGCUGCUAUUGCAUUGGAAUAUUAGCAAAAAGAGAAAAAUAUGGAACUAAAAGAAGCUUAAUUGGACAUGUUCGUAUCAAGGCCCAAGAUUAAUACGCAUGACUGCUAAUUACAAGGUCCAAGGGAUAUUUUAGUUGUUUUGUAUAAUUAUUAGAAUUUAUAUUAAAAGUUAUUUAUGAAAUAGUAUUUAGUAGAGAUUAAAAUACUUUAAGUCUUAUUUAUUAGAUAGAUUUAUAUUAGUAUACUUAUCUCUAGGGAGAUUUAUAUAGAGGAGGACUCUUCUCUAUAUAUAUCUUUGCAAAACCUAAUUAAAGAGGGGGGUAGGAGUUUUGCUCCUACCCGCUAACUAUUAUUCUCUUAAUAAUUUUCUACAGUUCUUCAUAAACAUUUAGUUUUAAUUUUGAUUGUUCUUUUAAGAUCUAAGAAGCUUUUCAAGAAAUAGAGACUGAUGACUAAUCUUUUUCAUACUUGAAGAAAUCAUGGAUCUAGA
Long non-coding RNA from Ricinus communis (castor bean), 789 nucleotides. RefSeq lists it as uncharacterized. The record is from RefSeq and is a predicted model, not a curated record. Lineage: Eukaryota; Viridiplantae; Streptophyta; Magnoliopsida; Malpighiales; Euphorbiaceae. The transcript is spliced from 3 exons.